RNAcentral lists this ribosomal RNA (497 nucleotides) under uncultured bacterium. RNAcentral describes it as "partial 16S ribosomal RNA". It matches the Rfam family "Bacterial small subunit ribosomal RNA", at positions 28 to 507 of the family's 1533-position model. The record is from RNAcentral.
GAUGAACGCUGGCGGCGUGCCUAAUACAUGCAAGUCGAGCGAACAGACGAGGAGCUUGCUCCUCUGACGUUAGCGGCGGACGGGUGAGUAACACGUGGAUAACCUACCUAUAAGACUGGGAUAACUUCGGGAAACCGGAGCUAAUACCGGAUAAUAUAUUGAACCGCAUGGUUCAAUAGUGAAAGACGGUUUUGCUGUCACUUAUAGAUGGAUCCGCGCCGCAUUAGCUAGUUGGUAAGGUAACGGCUUACCAAGGCAACGAUGCGUAGCCGACCUGAGAGGGUGAUCGGCCACACUGGAACUGGGACACGGUCCAGACUCCUACGGGAGGCAGCAGUAGGGAAUCUUCCGCAAUGGGCGAAAGCCUGACGGAGCAACGCCGCGUGAGUGGUGAAGGUCUUCGGAUCGUAAAACUCUGUUAUUAGGGAAGAACAAAUGUGUAAGUAACUAUGCACGUCUUGACGGUACCUAAUCAGAAAGCCACGGCUAACUACGUG